CCUACGGGGUGCAGCAGUGGGGAAUAUUGGGCAAUGGGCGCAAGCCUGACCCAGCAACGCCGCGUGAAGGAAGAAGGCUUUCGGGUUGUAAACUUCUUUUGUCAGGGACGAAGCACGUGUCGGUACCUGCCGCAUAAGCCACGGCUAACUACGUGCCAGCAGCCGCGGUAAUACGUCGGUGGCAAGCGUUAUCCGGAUUUACUGGGUGUAAAGGGCGUGUAGGCGGGACUGCAAGUCAGAUGUGAAAACCACGGGCUCAACCUGUGGCCUGCAUUUGAAACUGUAGGUCUUGAGUACUGGAGAGGCAGACGGAAUUCCUAGUGUAGCGGUGAAAUGCGUAGAGAUUAGGAGGAACACCAGUGGCGAAGGCGGUCUGCUGGACAGCGACUGACGCUGAGGCGCGAAAGCGUGGGGAGCAAACAGGAUUAGAUACCCUUGUAGUC
This 443-nucleotide ribosomal RNA is filed under the name uncultured bacterium. Its description in RNAcentral is "partial 16S ribosomal RNA". It matches the Rfam family "Bacterial small subunit ribosomal RNA", at positions 338 to 795 of the family's 1533-position model. The record is from RNAcentral.